This 253-nucleotide ribosomal RNA is filed under the name uncultured bacterium. RNAcentral describes it as "partial 16S ribosomal RNA". It matches the Rfam family "Bacterial small subunit ribosomal RNA", at positions 524 to 776 of the family's 1533-position model. The record is from RNAcentral.
GACGUAGGGGGCGAGCGUUGUCCGGAUUUAUUGGGCGUAAAGAGCUCGUAGGCGGUUAGUCACGUCGGCUGUGAAAACCUGGGGCUCAACUCCGGGCCUGCACCCGAUACGGGCGGGCUAGAGUUCGGUAGGGGAGACUGGAAUUCCUGGUGUAGCGGUGAAAUGCGCAGAUAUCAGGAGGAACACCGGUGGCGAAGGCGGGUCUCUGGGCCGAUACUGACGCUGAGGAGCGAAAGCGUGGGGAGCGAACAGG